RNAcentral lists this transfer RNA (76 nucleotides) under Salinivirgaceae bacterium. RNAcentral's name for it is "tRNA-Met". It matches the Rfam family "tRNA". From Rfam's summary of the family: Transfer RNA (tRNA) molecules are approximately 80 nucleotides in length. The record is from RNAcentral. Lineage: Bacteria; Pseudomonadati; Bacteroidota; Bacteroidia; Bacteroidales; Salinivirgaceae.
CGCGGGGUAGAGCAGUUGGUAGCUCGUCGGGCUCAUAACCCGGAGGUCGUAGGUUCGAGUCCUGCCCCCGCUACCA